This is a long non-coding RNA of Cygnus atratus (black swan), 3812 nucleotides long. RefSeq lists it as uncharacterized. The transcript has 4 exons. NCBI's taxonomy places the organism in Eukaryota, Metazoa, Chordata, Aves, Anseriformes, Anatidae. The record is from RefSeq and is a predicted model, not a curated record.
GCAAUCAAAUCUCUUUAGGCCUUCCCAGAAUUGUGAUUCAUAUUGUCUGAUUCUCAAAAUCCAGACAAAUCCAACAGAAACACUCCUUUAGGUGGAAGAGCAAACAGAAAUGCAGCGUUAUGGAGAGCCUGAAAGCCACUAUUCCCUUGCAGAAGGUGCUUCUGCUGCUUCCUUCUAGAGCUUAUCUAGUAAUUGCCUACAAAGUGUGAACAUGUCUGCACUGAACACCUGGAAUGGAAAGACAUCAUUGGAAAGACCUUUAUUAACUGGUUCCUAAGAUCCACUAUUCAGUUUCACAGGCUUGAAAUACACUGAUUCUCAUGUGUCCUGAAUGACUUCAGAAAAGGAUAUGUUGUAUGGACAAGAGUGGGCUGGGAGCUUCAGUUCAUCAGUCCUCAGAGAUGCCAAGCAGCCACAUCUUCCACUGACUGAGGAGGUGUUGGAGAGAACUGAACAUCUCCUGGGAGAGGCUGGAUAAUCAAAUCAGAGCAAAAAUACAGCAGAGUCAGCAUAGAUACACACCCAUACCUACAUAUAUAUGCACAUUUACACACCCAUAUCAGCCAAUUAGUCUGAUAAACUAGCUAACAUUCUGUCAGAAUUGUUUUUGUUAUGAGUAUAAAAUAGCUACAUAAAUCAGCCAUUUCCCUUCAUUGCAACCCCAGUCAUUGCCAGAGAACAUAUUCCCUUAAGCGCAGUAGAAGCUAAGAGCAGCCAGCACUUUCCCUGACCCCUGUUUCCAGGAUUGCUUUCCGGCGAGUUCUUGCUAUAAGAAGCUCUGUUUUUCCAUCCCAGAUGAAGGUGACUAGGCUUAUCUUACCAUCUGUUUUCUUCUAGUCUCUGGUGCAACAGCUUUCAAGAGGUACAAGGAGGCUUAUUUGACCACGUUCCUUGGCUUUGGCCAUGGUUUGCCAUGUGGCCAAUUGCCUUGGGAAACAGCUUCUAGAAACUCCCAUUCUCUCUUGCUACAAAGGGCUUUAAUUGUCUUCUGCUCAGUCAUAAUUGUGCCUUGCACAUGUGGCAGUUUGACUAUAGUCUCCAGUUGUAUGCCAAUUAGAUUCUCUUUAGAUGGGAACAGCCUGUGCACAAGCUCCAAAAAAUCAUUAAAAUAUACGCUAAAAGACUUUACAGGAUAGAAUUUUUACAGACACAGGGCCUGGCCUGGCCUGACUCUCCUUCAAGUUGAUGCAAAGAAACCCACUACCCUCAUGUGAUCUUAUUUUUGUUAAAUAAUAAGUAGAAGGAGCAAGAAAUUCAUAGACAUGUUCAAGCUGGUUCAGUAAAGAUAUUUAGAACCUAUACAGAGAAUUUUCUUCUAGGUAUCAUAAAAAGGGACCUUAGAAAUGUUUCUGUUCAGUUACAUUUAAAUAUACCAUGAUGGGAUGCCUUCUAAAGUAAUUGUUUCCUGCAUGCUGUUUGCAAGCUAAGCAUCAAGAGACAAGUUAUAAGUAGCAAUAAACAAACAAACAAACAAACAAAUAAAAGGUUAGAUUAGGAAGCCCAGCAGUCUCUCAGACCAUACCACCUGUGCAGAAAGACAGUGGCCACAGCUUAAUUGUUGCUUGAGCACCUAAUGGAGAUGAGCACCAAAAAGAUAUUCACAGCUUUUUCUCAGUAAUCCUUUUGAAAAGAAGAAUAAAAGAGGAACAGUGGUUGUUAAAAGGGAAACCAGAAAACACUGUAGGAUCAGCUCUUGAAUAAAUAUGGUCUGGAGUUCAUUAAACUCCACACACCUCUGCAAAAGCUUUCCCUAGUAACUAAGGGAAGAACAUGCUCCCCAUUACUUUUCCUACUAGAAUAAUUACAGUAUGUUAAGGCACAGCAAGGCAGGUCACAGCAAAGCCUGUUUGGAGUUUGCAUUUCAACUGCAUAUUAUGCACUUGCAUUGUAAUAUAUUCAUACUGACAGCAUCGUUACGGUGAAUUAAUCUAAAUUAUGUCUAGACGCAUAUUUACAACAACAAGCAUCAUAGACUGCUUGGUGGCUGACUGCUCAGAGGAAUUAACCAUGAAAAUCCCAGGCAUAAACCUUACAAAUAAAUGACUAAAACGAUAAGCAGAAGAAUAAGUUAGUUUAGGCCAUGAUUCAGGAACAAUACCAAAACCUUCUCCAUAUAAUUUUAUUAGUUUAUGUGUUAGUUUACCAGUUUACCAACUUUAAUUGCGAUCACCUCUGCUGGAGAGACAUAACCCAACCGUAAUGCUGUCACAGGCUCAGAAGCCAGCACGAGAGUGCAAGGAAGUCACAGCAAGUCAUUGGAAGCAUUGACCUCUACUUAUGUGCAGUUAAAGUGCCCAGAUAUACCCACACUUUGAAAGAUUUUCAUGAAUAUCCUAUGGCUAUUUUAAGUCAGGUGUGUCAGGAAACUUAGCUAUCAUUUCAACAUUAGUAAAGGUAAAGUCAUACAUUAGCAUUGUUCCACCACUAUUGGUAAUGCGGGAAGAAGGAGGCUUGCAGUUCCUGCUGUUAUUUAUUGUUUGUAAGAGCAAAGGUUUUUAGGAGCAACACUGAUUACUUUUAGCAAUUCCCACCUAACACAAUCAUUUUAUUACCCAGCUGCAAUGAAUCCACAACACUGCCAGUGCAGCAUGUAAUUAAUUGUAAUUUUAUAGACCACGUAUACACACUACUUCACCCUAAACUCACUGUGGGGUAGAAGCUUGCAAAGGCAGGGCGACAGACAACAUAUGAGAGGUUUGGAAUUUUGUCAUCACUGGAGCUGUGGCUCUCAGGAGAGCUCUUGGGGCAGCCAGGCAUGCAGGGGACACCCAACCCAGAGGAUGUGUGGCCGAGGAAUCCCCAUGUCACCAGAAAAGACCAUGCUGCUGUGUCAUGAUGGCAUUCCCCGGCAGCGGCAUGAGGACAGCGUGUUCCCAGCUCCUGGGAAAAUUAAAUGCUUUCUUCCCUAGCAUGGGGUUCGUUACAGCCUGUUUGGUUUUAAGAUCUUGAUCUGUCUGCAGUAAUGCAACCCUCGUGCAUGCUGUUCGGGAGGACUGGGAAGGGAGGGAGGAAAGGAGGCUGAGCACAAGCAGGGCGCACUUAGAUGCUGGACAAGAGAAAUGUGAGACCUGACACUGCUUUGGCACCGGAGCUCUCCAUGCUGGAGAGCGCUGGUAAUUUUUAUGCUUGAGGAGACCCACAACAGUAAAUUCAAUAACUCGACAUGCCUAAUUUCUCUGUGGGGAAGCAGGAAGCAUUAGCAUGGGCACAGCCUUCCGUAACACGUCCAAACAGCUUCCAGCCUGGAGAAGGCUUUCACUCGGCUGAGUCAGAGUGCAGGCAGAGUUACCGUCUGUGCAGAUGUGCCUGUAGAUAAAGCAGGUGGGACCAGCACAGCACUAGUAUUGUACAUGUCUUAUAGAAACGGGGCUGAGGUAAGAGAGAUGGCAGCACAGAAAGGUCAAAUUCACUUCUUAAGAUUGCUCAAGAGGCCUGAGCCAAACCUUCCUGCAUCCUGGGUAAGUAAAUGCAAGUGCCUUCCUGAGGAAUGGCCUGGACUUGCUCCCUGAAGGCAAAGGUUUACCUGCAGAAGCACUAUUGCUCUUACCUUUAAUAAAUGUUUAGUGAAAUGCUCUGUCAAAAGUUGUUUAGAAAGCAGAAAUGGAGAUGUGAGCUUACCUCUGUGUAUGGCAUUAGUUAACCACUGCUAGAAGCUGGCAUGCAUUUCUGGUCCUCACUCCCAAAGGGAGGCUGAGGAAAUACUAUAGACGUUUCAAAGGGGAGCCAGAAAGCUCUCCUGUGGGCUGCCAAGCAAACCAUAGUGGCAGAGACAAAAGGACUGUAAUUUAUUCACUUAAAAAAAAAAAAAGGCA